Molecule: transfer RNA, 74 nt
Filed under: Myxococcales bacterium
Lineage: Bacteria; Pseudomonadati; Myxococcota; Myxococcia; Myxococcales
Also listed under: 1 other name
Description: tRNA-Glu
Rfam family: tRNA
About the family: Transfer RNA (tRNA) molecules are approximately 80 nucleotides in length.
Source: RNAcentral
GUCCCCAUCGUCUAGUUGGCCCAGGACGGCGGCUUUUCACGCCGCUAACAGGGGUUCGAAUCCCCUUGGGGACG